AGAGUUUGAUCCUGGCUCAGGACGAACGCUGGCGGCGUGCCUAAUACAUGCAAGUAGAACGCUGAAGGAGGAGCUUGCUUCUCUGGAUGAGUUGCGAACGGGUGAGUAACGCGUAGGUAACCUGCCUGGUAGCGGGGGAUAACUAUUGGAAACGAUAGCUAAUACCGCAUAAGAGUAGAUGUUGCAUGACAUUUACUUAAAAGGUGCACUUGCAUCACUACCAGAUGGACCUGCGUUGUAUUAGCUAGUUGGUGGGGUAACGGCUCACCAAGGCGACGAUACAUAGCCGACCUGAGAGGGUGAUCGGCCACACUGGGACUGAGACACGGCCCAGACUCCUACGGGAGGCAGCAGUAGGGAAUCUUCGGCAAUGGACGGAAGUCUGACCGAGCAACGCCGCGUGAGUGAAGAAGGUUUUCGGAUCGUAAAGCUCUGUUGUAAGAGAAGAACGAGUGUGAGAGUGGAAAGUUCACACUGUGACGGUAUCUUACCAGAAAGGGACGGCUAACUACGUGCCAGCAGCCGCGGUAAUACGUAGGUCCCGAGCGUUGUCCGGAUUUAUUGGGCGUAAAGCGAGCGCAGGCGGUUAGAUAAGUCUGAAGUUAAAGGCUGUGGCUUAACCAUAGUAGGCUUUGGAAACUGUUUAACUUGAGUGCAAGAGGGGAGAGUGGAAUUCCAUGUGUAGCGGUGAAAUGCGUAGAUAUAUGGAGGAACACCGGUGGCGAAAGCGGCUCUCUGGCUUGUAACUGACGCUGAGGCUCGAAAGCGUGGGGAGCAAACAGGAUUAGAUACCCUGGUAGUCCACGCUGUAAACGAUGAGUGCUAGGUGUUAGACCCUUUCCGGGGUUUAGUGCCGUAGCUAACGCAUUAAGCACUCCGCCUGGGGAGUACGACCGCAAGGUUGAAACUCAAAGGAAUUGACGGGGGCCCGCACAUGCGGUGGAGCAUGUGGUUUAAUUCGAAGCAACGCGAAGAACCUUACCAGGUCUUGACAUCCCUCUGACCGCUCUAGAGAUAGAGCUUUCCUUCGGGACAGAGGUGACAGGUGGUGCAUGGUUGUCGUCAGCUCGUGUCGUGAGAUGUUGGGUUAAGUCCCGCAACGAGCGCAACCCCUAUUGUUAGUUGCCAUCAUUUAGUUGGGCACUCUAGCGAGACUGCCGGUAAUAAACCGGAGGAAGGUGGGGAUGACGUCAAAUCAUCAUGCCCCUUAUGACCUGGGCUACACACGUGCUACAAUGGCUGGUACAACGAGUCGCAAGCCGGUGACGGCAAGCUAAUCUCUUAAAGCCAGUCUCAGUUCGGAUUGUAGGCUGCAACUCGCCUACAUGAAGUCGGAAUCGCUAGUAAUCGCGGAUCAGCACGCCGCGGUGAAUACGUUCCCGGGCCUUGUACACACCGCCCGUCACACCACGAGAGUUUGUAACACCCGAAGUCGGUGAGGUAACCGUAAGGAGCCAGCCGCCUAAGGUGGGAUAGAUGAUUGGGGUGAAGUCGUAACAAGGUAGCCGUAUCGGAAGGUGCGGCUGGAUCACCU
This 1534-nucleotide ribosomal RNA is filed under the name Streptococcus pneumoniae. RNAcentral describes it as "bacterial SSU rRNA". It matches the Rfam family "Bacterial small subunit ribosomal RNA". Lineage: Bacteria; Bacillati; Bacillota; Bacilli; Lactobacillales; Streptococcaceae. The record is from RNAcentral.